GGAGGGCUGGCGGAGCGGUCUAACGCACUUGAUUUGAAAUCAAGCGUCCUCACGGACCGGGGGUUCAAAUCCCUCGCCCUCCG
This 83-nucleotide transfer RNA is filed under the name Planctomycetota bacterium. Its description in RNAcentral is "Planctomycetes bacterium (subsurface metagenome) tRNA-Ser". It matches the Rfam family "tRNA". Rfam says of the family: Transfer RNA (tRNA) molecules are approximately 80 nucleotides in length. Their secondary structure includes four short double-helical elements and three loops (D, anti-codon, and T loops). The record is from RNAcentral. Lineage: Bacteria; Pseudomonadati; Planctomycetota.